ACACUUGGUGGGCUUUCCAAAUGAGAACCAAAGAAGCGCAAAAUCAAAGCAAAUUCAUCCGAUUCGUUAAACUACCCAUCAGAGCUCUAGGCAAGGCCAAGGAUUUCUAUGUACGAAGCAUCAUGGAUUGUGCUCCCAGAGUCUCUCACGGCUACCCAUCUGGCCAAUUGCCCAUGUUGCCCAAAAGCUACAGCUCUCGCUCUUCCAGAUCCAAUGAAACCGACGAUUUCAGAGAGCUUGUCAAG
Molecule: unclassified non-coding RNA, 245 nt
Filed under: Hevea brasiliensis (rubber tree)
Lineage: Eukaryota; Viridiplantae; Streptophyta; Magnoliopsida; Malpighiales; Euphorbiaceae
Source: RNAcentral